Molecule: ribosomal RNA, 153 nt
Filed under: Betta renata
Lineage: Eukaryota; Metazoa; Chordata; Actinopteri; Anabantiformes; Osphronemidae
Description: partial 12S ribosomal RNA
Source: RNAcentral
ACACACCGCCCGUCACUCUCCCCUAGUCUAAAGAAAUUUACACUUAACAAUAAAUGUCGCAGCAAAGGGGAGGCAAGUCGUAACAUGGUAAGUGUACCGGAAGGUGUACUUGGAUAAAUCAAAGUGUAGCUAAAUGAAAAGUAUCUCUCUUAC